Molecule: long non-coding RNA, 735 nt
Filed under: Heterocephalus glaber (naked mole-rat)
Lineage: Eukaryota; Metazoa; Chordata; Mammalia; Rodentia; Bathyergidae
Description: lncRNA (ENSHGLG00100048613.1)
Source: RNAcentral
CAGAAUUCAGAACAGCCCUUACUCCUCAAGAAAUGUUCCCGAGAGAUGGCAGUGUCCUAGAUAGCUGAGGGAUUCCUUGCUAUUAAACGCCCAUCCUCUGCUCCACUCUCCCAUCUCCAGCCAUCUAAUGACCAGAAUCUACUCUGAGAAUAACAAAUGCUUCAGGGAACUUAUGAAACCAGAGACCCACAGAUACACAUGUCAGAGCAUAGAGGUCUUUCCAUCAUCCUCUUCCUGCUUUGGAGCCAGCAGAACUGAAAACAUGGGCCAAAAUAACCCUCUCCUCCUUCAAGUCACUGGUGUUGGGUGUUUGUCCCAUGGAUGAGAAAAGCGAUUAAAAUAGCUUGAAUGUGAAGACUGUGUAAUUUCAAGACGAUCAGAAAAAAAGCUUGCCAUCUGGAUGUCAUAAUAAAAUAAUGAAUUUCUGAGGCCUGCCUGGAGCCAGCGAACCAGGACAAUCACAGUGGAGCUGGCUACACACAUGUGAGCACAGCAUCUGAGAAGACACUGGGCUCAUUCUCGGCAUCCUACUGUUUUUCACUAUGAUGUUCCUUUGACCUUUGCUUGAAGAUCAUAAACUAAAUCUGUCCAGAGGCAGAUGUGUCAUAUUUGGGCAACUCUAAUAAUCAUAAACUUCUUCUUUCAAUCUCUCUUGAAAUUUGCUUCUGUAUAACUCUGAUUAGUUUCUUCUUGUUCUGCCCUGGAAACUACACUGAGCAUGAUCCCUUUACAUUC